Molecule: non-coding RNA, 1467 nt
Organism: Pimephales promelas (fathead minnow)
Lineage: Eukaryota; Metazoa; Chordata; Actinopteri; Cypriniformes; Leuciscidae
Source: RefSeq, a predicted model, not a curated record
GGUUACACUCACAGCGCACGCACUGUACAGCCUGACUCACUUCAGUUCUACUUUCUUAGGUUUGGGUCUGAUGACAUACAACUAUUAUAUUCCUGGCCGAUUCAAUGGCUGAAUAUAUAUUCUACUAUCUCAAGACGUUGCUGACCCCGCUGCUGGCUCUGACUGUGAUUCUGUGUAUAUUGAGAUACUGCUGCAACUACUGCAGGAAAGCCUCAGACACACACUUAGACUUCGACCUGUCAGACAGCGACCACGUCUAUGUGAUUCCAAAUCCCAUUCACACGAGAGAAGAGAGAGACGAACGAGACGAGACAGACCUCAUGAAGACAUGUUCACACCACCACCAUACGAGCUAGUGUGUCCACCGCCAACAUAUGCAGAGGCCAGCUUUAAAUUCAAUAUUUCUGAUGUUCAAGUGGAUCUAGACUCAGAGAUGGAGGCGGCCUACGUACCUCCUCCACCAUACAGCCCACCUCUACCACCACAGUCAUCCAGCCAUCCACAAGUAGAAUAACUUCGUAACUAAUAGAACUAUUACAUUUUAUCUUUACAUAUCUGUAAAUGUGUUCAUACCAAGACGACAAAGUCUGACAUAUGAUUACCUAACAAUCCCAAAGAAGGAGCUUUAUAUACGUCAUAGAUAAUUCUUAUCUUAAGAAAGAACGUUUACUGCUUUUACAAUUGCUAGGACACAUUUCUCAACACUUUUUCUUCACACAGUUCUCCUAAUGGACUUUCAUUUCACAUUCAAAAUGCUCUAAAACUACCAAAACAUGUCAUACAUGUCUCAAAUCAACACAUUCUUCCAUAAGACUAUAGGUUUUCAACCAACAAACACACUUUGUCACCCAUAAAACAAUGAUGUCAAAACAAUGACGACAAGCAGGAUCAUGCAAUUCUUUUGGAAAAAAAAGAAUGAUAUUUAAGAAUGUUUAUAAUUGUCCAUAUUUACAUUACAGUACAAAAUUAUUCCUAACAUCUAACUGUUUUGAUAGUUUGUGUAAAGAGUUUUGAAGAUGUGACUUAAGAAAUGGGUGUUAGUGAGAUUUAUAUUAAUUAUAUUUUAUACAUAUUAUUGAGAGAUUUCAGUAAAAACAAAAGCAGGUAUUCAGCUUCAUUAUAUCCUUAUAGAUUAUUUAUUCCAGGACUAAACAUGCUGUGCUUUCUCCUAACAAAUUAUUGUUCUGUUUAAAUGUUGUUUUAAUCAUUACCUUGAAUGUCUGACUGCAUAAAAUACCCAUACUGUUCAACUUGAAGUGUUAAUGUGCUAUAUAUAAAAUAAAUACUACCUCAUGAAGUGAGAUGAGAAGAGAUGUGUUGUGGGUAAGGAUGCUGCAUAUUAUCUCCACUCAAUACUUUGAGAUGUGUUUUGAAGUAUCAUCGGUAAGACAGGGUCAGCUCAAUGCUCCCUGCUUCCCCAUGUGAAUGUACAGCUGCUUUUCAGUAAAACAUUGAACUUUCUGUGGA